AGUAACGCGUGGAUAACCUGCCUCACACUGGGGAUAACAGUUAGAAAUGACUGCUGAUACCGCAUAAGCGCACAGUACCGCAUGGUACAGUGUGAAAAACUCCGGUAGGUGUGAGAUGGAUCCGCGUCUGAUUAGCCAGUUGGCGGGGUAACGGCCCACCAAAGCGACGAUCAGUAGCCGACCUGAGAGGGUGACCGGCCACAUUGGGACUGAGACACGGCCCAA
Molecule: ribosomal RNA, 225 nt
Filed under: uncultured bacterium
Lineage: Bacteria
Description: partial 16S ribosomal RNA
Rfam family: Bacterial small subunit ribosomal RNA
Source: RNAcentral